UCACCUGCCGAAGCAACUAGCCCUGAAAAUGGAUGGCGCUCUAGCGUCGUGCCUAUACCGGGCCGUCAACGGCAAAGUGGGUUGGUGCUCGGUCGGUUAACGCUGGCCGGCCCGGCCGUUAAGCCUUGACGAGUAGGAGGCGCGCGUCGGUGUGCACAGAAGGGUCUGGGCGUAAGCCCGCCUGGAGCCGCCGUCGGUGCAGAUCUUGGUGGUAGUAGCAAAUACUCUAGCGAGGGCCUGGAGGGCUGAUGUGGAGAAGGGUUUCUUGUGAACAGCCGUUGCACAAGAGUCAGUCGACCCUAAGCCCUAGGAGAAAUCCGAUGUUGAUGGGAAGCAAUCACGUUUACACUGGCUGCUCCCGUCGGGCGAAAGGGAAUCCGGUUCCUAUUCCGGAACCCGGCUGCGGAACCGUAACUUCGCGGGCACUCGCCUGCGAGCGCUCGUCGGGGUAACCCAAAAUGACCCGGAGACGCCGACGGGAGGUCUGGAAAGAGUUGUCUUUUCUUUAUAAGCGUUCGAGUUCCCUGGAAUCCUAUAGCAGGGAGAUAGGGUUUGGAACGCGAAGAGCACCGCAGUUGCGGCGGUGUCCGGACCUUCCCCUCGGACCUUGAAAAUCCGGGUGAGGGCUACGCGGAAUGUCGCGCCGGAUCGUACCCAUAUCCGCAGCAGGUCUCCAA
This 677-nucleotide ribosomal RNA is filed under the name Celyphoma quadrupla. Its description in RNAcentral is "eukaryotic LSU rRNA". It matches the Rfam family "Eukaryotic large subunit ribosomal RNA", at positions 1290 to 1870 of the family's 3401-position model. The record is from RNAcentral. Lineage: Eukaryota; Metazoa; Arthropoda; Insecta; Hemiptera; Issidae.